GAUGAACGCUGGCGGCGUGCCUAAUACAUGCAAGUCGAGCGAACAGACGAGGAGCUUGCUCCUCUGACGUUAGCGGCGGACGGGUGAGUAACACGUGGAUAACCUACCUAUAAGACUGGGAUAACUUCGGGAAACCGGAGCUAAUACCGGAUAAUAUAUUGAACCGCAUGGUUCAAUAGUGAAAGACGGUUUUGCUGUCACUUAUAGAUGGAUCCGCGCCGCGUUAGCUAGUUGGUAAGGUAACGGCUUACCAAGGCAACGAUGCGUAGCCGACCUGAGAGGGUGAUCGGCCACACUGGAACUGAGACACGGUCCAGACUCCUACGGGAGGCAGCAGUAGGGAAUCUUCCGCAAUGGGCGAAAGCCUGACGGAGCAACGCCGCGUGAGUGAUGAAGGUCUUCGGAUCGUAAAACUCUGUUAUUAGGGAAGAACAAAUGUGUAAGUAACUAUGCACGUCUUGACGGUACCUAAUCAGAAAGCCACGGCUAACUACGUG
RNAcentral lists this ribosomal RNA (497 nucleotides) under uncultured bacterium. Its description in RNAcentral is "partial 16S ribosomal RNA". It matches the Rfam family "Bacterial small subunit ribosomal RNA", at positions 28 to 507 of the family's 1533-position model. The record is from RNAcentral.